GCCGCUAGCAGCUGGCGGUGGCGGUGGCGCGAGCCCCGCCGCUGCUGCGUCCGCCCCGACGUCGGAGGAGCAGCAGCAGCAGCAGCACGGCCCGGUCAAGGAAGGGGGAGACGACGACGCGGCGGCCGUGGUUGUUGCCGUGCAGGAGGAGGAGGAGGACGAGGCGAAGCCCCAGCUGCUGCGUGAAGAUGACUCAGAAGCAGAAAUCCAAGAGCAUGAACAGAAGAUAAACAAAUAUCAAGCUAUACUUGCAGCCCGUUUGAAGGCCAAAUACUUCUCUAAUAAGGAUUUUGAUGGAGGAAAUGUCUUUGAAGCAGAAGCCACUGUUGAAGGAGAAACUAUUCAGUCCAGCAGGUGGCCAUGUACAAGAUCAUUUGCAAACCCAGUAAAUUUUUUUCAAGAGAAGAACAGCCGUGAGAGGAGUGAUUCUCCAUCCUUGACAGCAGAUUCCUCCGCCAAGAACAAUUCUCCUAGAAUAGAUUCCUCACCAAAGAAUAGUGCAAACACUUUGGCCACAGAGAACAAUCUAACACCUGGAAAGAGACAACUAUCCAAGAAGACCUGAUGGAUAACAGUAGGCUAGUUGGUUGUUUUCUGUUCCUCUGAAGUCUGAAGGUACGCAACCUGAAGCAUAUAAGUUACCUUGAAAGGCAAAUUCAACCUGCGCAUGUUUGUGGGCAAUGCUAGAUUCAUUCACUGGGGUUCCAGUAACAUCUGUAGCAAGAAACAUUGUAUUUGUGGUUGAUGUAUUAUAGACUAUUUCUGGUGAAGCAUUCAUUGGUUGCCGAAACCUGUGCUCCAAACUUAGGUUCUAUUUUGAAUGUAACUGUUCAAUUUAUCUGUGACUACAUACUCCUUGACAACCGAGUAGAUGAAAGCAUGAAGCAGGUCGCUUACACUAUGAUUGAUGAUCCAGGGAGACA
Oryza brachyantha (malo sina) is the source of this 923-nucleotide long non-coding RNA. RefSeq lists it as uncharacterized. Lineage: Eukaryota; Viridiplantae; Streptophyta; Magnoliopsida; Poales; Poaceae. The record is from RefSeq and is a predicted model, not a curated record. The transcript has 5 exons.